AAAGAUGCGCUAAUUCCGCAUAAUCUCUAAGGAGAAAAGCAGGGGAUGGCAAGACCUUGGGCUUUUGGAGCGGCCGAUGUCUGAUUAGCUAGUUGGUGAGGUAAAGGCUUACCAAGGCUACGAUCAGUAGCUGGUCUGAGAGGACGACCAGCCACACUGGGACUGAGACACGGCCCAGACUCCUACGGGAGGCAGCAGUGGGGAAUUUUGGACAAUGGGGGCAACCCUGAUCCAGCCAUGCCGCGUGAGUGAAGAAGGCCUUCGGGUUGUAAAGCUCUUUCAGCGGGAACGAAAAGGUUACGGUUAAUACCCGUGACUAAUGACGGUACCGGAAGAAGAAGCACCGGCUAACUACGUGCCAGCAGCCGCGGUAAUACGUAGGGUGCGAGCGUUAAUCGGAAUUACUGGGCGUAAAGCGUGCGCAGGCGGUUUUGUAAGUCAGAUGUGAAAUCCCCGGGCUUAACCUGGGAACUGCGUUUGAAACUACAAGGCUAGAGUGUGGCAGAGGGGGGUGGAAUUCCACGUGUAGCAGUGAAAUGCGUAGAGAUGUGGAGGAACACCGAUGGCGAAGGCAGCCCCCUGGGUUAACACUGACGCUCAGGCACGAAAGCGUGGGGAGCAAACAGGAUUAGAUACCCUGGUAGUCCACGCCCUAAACGAUGUCAACUAGUUGUCGGGUCUUAACGGGCUUGGUAACGCAGCUAACGCGUGAAGUUGACCGCCUGGGGAGUACGGUCGCAAGAUUAAAACUCAAAGGAAUUGACGGGGACCCGCACAAGCGGUGGAUUAUGUGGAUUAAUUCGAUGCAACGCGAAAAACCUUACCUACCCUUGACAUGUACCGAAGCCCGCCGAGAGGUGGGCGUGCC
Molecule: ribosomal RNA, 868 nt
Filed under: uncultured Pseudomonadota bacterium
Lineage: Bacteria; Pseudomonadati; Pseudomonadota
Description: bacterial SSU rRNA
Rfam family: Bacterial small subunit ribosomal RNA
Source: RNAcentral